Ailuropoda melanoleuca (giant panda) is the source of this 2787-nucleotide RNA transcript. It is a transcript of the gene named dual specificity phosphatase 22, with no coding region annotated. Lineage: Eukaryota; Metazoa; Chordata; Mammalia; Carnivora; Ursidae. The record is from RefSeq and is a predicted model, not a curated record. The transcript has 8 exons.
CGGGAGCCGGACUACAAGUCCCAGGGAGCCGGCCGGGGAGGGGUGCCUGGGCGCUCACGGGGCGUGCACUGGCAAAGCGAGACCAUUUCCCGGCAAGGGCGCCAGUUCCUCUGCUCUGCUCGGCCGGGAAGUCCGGGGCGGACGAGCGGAAAGCCCUACCGUCCAGGCCAGCUCCCUGGAGCGAACCGAGUGGCCUGGAUGUCCCUGAUUAUUAUUGUUGUUGUUGUUGUUUAUACUGCGAGCACGAAAUUCCUCCCCAGGGCCUCCUCCCCCGCCCGCUCCACUUGCUCCUCCCUCCUGUUGUAACAUGCUCUCAGUGAGCCUGCGACCUCAUUUCCAAGGGUGCUAGAGUUCGCAUUCAGCCACCAUGGGGAAUGGGAUGAACAAGAUCCUGCCUGGCCUGUACAUUGGCAACUUCAAAGAUGCCAGAGAUGCAGAGCAAUUGAGCAAGAACAAGGUGACACAUAUUCUGUCUGUCCACGAUAGUGCCAGGCCUCUGUUGGAGGGGGUUAAAUACCUGUGCAUUCCAGCAGCGGAUUCACCAUCUCAGAACCUGACAAGACAUUUCAAAGAAAGUAUUAAGUUCAUUCACGAGUGCCGACUCAGGGGUGAGGGCUGUCUGGUACACUGCCUGGCUGGCGUCUCCAGGAGUGUGACUCUGGUGAUCGCAUACAUCAUGACCGUCACCGACUUUGGCUGGGAGGAUGCCCUGCACACUGUGCGUGCAGGGAGGUCUUGUGCCAACCCCAACCUGGGCUUCCAGAGACAGCUCCAGGAGUUUGAGAAACAUGAAGUUCACCAGUACCGGCAGUGGCUGAAGGAAGAAUAUGGAGAGAGCCCUUUGCGGGAUGUGGAAGAAGCCAAAAGCAUUCUGGGUAAAUAUAAAGAGCAAGGGCGUGUGGAGUCCCAGCCUGGUGCAAGGCGGUGGAGCAGCUUUCAGACCCUGCCUCCUCUGGCCUACAGCAACUAUACGACGGAGACCUAGUAACUGAGUGAUCUGGUGCCUGCCUUUCCAUCCCUUGUCUUCGGUGCAUUUCUGCCGGUGCCCUGGUGUGCUGGCUGCCCCAUGGAGGACGGGCAAGGGGGGGUGGCAGAGAUGGAUCCAGGCUCCUUCUCCAUGAAUCCACCAGCCCUGCCCGAGGCCCCUUCAUCCUGCCCACUCCUGCCCUGCCUGAGCUUGGGGAGUCUGCUUGGCUGCCCCACACCGACUCACGCGUGCGCCCGAGUGAAGGCGAGUGUGCAUGUGUGCCCGUGUGUGCAGAUGUGUGAACUCUAAAUGUUCACGUUGCUGGAACAGUCGCAGAACCCAUGCUGCCAGGCUUGGUGUCACCACCUUUCCUUUUGUCCACGACUCCACAUGGAAAUCAUUUGAAGUUAACAUCUUAAAAGCUGCUCAGCCUAACGCAGCCUGUGGCUGAGAGCAGACAGAGCCCAGAAUGGUCAUGGUGAGGGCGGCAGGAGGCCAGACUCCCUCCUCAGAGUAGUUCCAGGGGCCCUGAAAGGUGUGCGGGGGUGUGCUCUGAGCAUUGCCUCCACCUUAAUGAAAGUGCCCCAGGCUGCGGUCCUACCACCUCAAGUCAAGACCCCCUUCUCAGCCCAUCAUGUCCCUGAGUUCUCGGUGUGUGUUCUCAGUGGCACUGACUGUAUUUCAGUUCCAUAGGGAGCACAACCACCUCCGCCCAAGCUCUUGCCCAGAGCUCCCUUCCUUCCUCCUCCUGUUCGGCUUCACUUACUCUCAACCUCUUGUUCUCUUGCUGUCGUAACUCCGCAAGGGCCUCUUUGCAAUGUCUGCAUGCAUCUUCAGGAACUGGGGAGAAAGAGCAUUUAUUAGGCACUAUAGCAAGUUUGCAUUUAAAAAUACAUUUUAAAAUGCCUGCGCACUUAUUAAGCACCUUUGUGUAUGCUAUGGAUGUGAUAUUUGAUCUCAGCUACCUCAUUAAAUGUUUUUUGAAAAGGUAUUUUCGUUAUUGUAAUCAGCUCGUAGUUGAAAAUGUUUGGUCAUGAUUGCUUUUGAAGCCAAAGGGCAAAAGCAUCCAGUAUCAUUGAGCUAUCUAAAAUGUCUGUUUUGAGCUCCAGUAAUGCUUUCUGUUGGGUAAAAUUCCACGGUUGGGCCAAGCCCAGCAGGCCUGGAGAGCGUCUGCCGCCUGCAGUGUGGGACAGCACGAUCCUGGAAUUCUGUGAGCAAUUUCGUGGUCCAGUCUUUUAUACCAGCUCACAUUGUUUAAGUACACAAAGCCACAAGAAUGAAAAAGUAUACUUGGCCUCUCCCUAAAAAGAUGUUGCAGCCCAGUUUCUCCAAAUUCCACCAAGAGCAGAGCCCCGAAAGAAGACCAGCUUUCCCACGCAUAUAAAGUGUAUAUCGCAGCCACUGCAGGAAUUCUGAAGUACUGGGCCUUUCUCAGAAGACUGUAAUAUACCUGAAGUUUCUGAAAUAUUGCAAAGUCACAGAGUUCAGGCUGCUGCUGCCAAAAAGAAAAGGAGCCUAGAGUUUAUUUUGAAGUAUCCAGAAGUGAUUUGUAAACUUGUUUUUCCUUUUAAACUGAAUACAUGUGUAAUGAUGUUAUAUGUUGAGAACUAAGGAUGUUCUUCGGCAAGAGAAAAUAUUUUUGCCUUAAUUCCAUUGCUACAGUAAUUUCUUUAACCUUAGCGUUAGGGUUUCUAAAGCAGUCUCAAAAGCCCUGCUGCCCUGUUUUGGUAACUGUUUAGUAAUCAUGAUUGCUUCUCAUGAGAAUUGUGCUGUUUAAACUCUGCUCGUGUGUUCUUAAAUUCCCCAGCUUGGGAAAUAUC